GAGGAUAUAGCUCAGUGGUAGAGUACAUGCUUACCAUGCAUGAGGUCCUGGGUUCAAUCCCCAGUACCUCCA
RNAcentral lists this transfer RNA (72 nucleotides) under Camelus bactrianus (Bactrian camel). It matches the Rfam family "tRNA". Rfam says of the family: Transfer RNA (tRNA) molecules are approximately 80 nucleotides in length. The record is from Rfam by way of RNAcentral. RNAcentral also lists the same sequence under 2 other names. Lineage: Eukaryota; Metazoa; Chordata; Mammalia; Artiodactyla; Camelidae.